Molecule: non-coding RNA, 30 nt
Filed under: Rattus norvegicus (Norway rat)
Lineage: Eukaryota; Metazoa; Chordata; Mammalia; Rodentia; Muridae
Source: RNAcentral
UAUGGGUGAUUAUAAUAUAUUAUAUUUAAU